This 438-nucleotide long non-coding RNA is filed under the name Capra hircus (goat). RNAcentral describes it as "lncRNA (ENSCHIG00000003651.1)". Lineage: Eukaryota; Metazoa; Chordata; Mammalia; Artiodactyla; Bovidae. The record is from RNAcentral.
AAAAUGACUAUUUGCUUUUUUGCUUUGUUUUAGAGCUUUAAAAAGUUCAACUGAAUUUAUUCAAGCUAAUUCAACCAGCAUUUCACCAUUAGAGGCACCUACCUGGUGAGGUUGAGGUGAGGAGAGGACGGGUAAAAAACCAAGAAGGGACGGGUAUGUACCCUAACUGGCUGGCAAAAUGGAAUCUUAUUCCUAGACACGAAUGGUACGUUCAUUAUUUAUGAUUCCUUCUAAUCACAAAACUGCUUUUGCCUUUCCGUGACACAGAUGAUGAUGGAAAUAAGGCAUGUGACUUCGCCAGCUGUUUUCUCCAAAGCUGAGCCAGAGACUCCUGGUCAUCAGGUCAGCAGAGCCUGUGUGAUCAGCAGAGUUCCUGGAUCCUGCAGCCACCUCAUUUAUCUGGGAAGGAUUGGGAUACAUGUUCACUCUUCAGCGUAG